UGGUUUGCAUCAAGGUCAGGUGAAGUGGAAUGUUGUUUUGAGCUUUUCAGAGGAGCUGCAGCAGAAGGUGCUAACGAGGCCCCUUUCCAAAUGCAGAGGCCUGGUGGGAACUGAUAAUACACUUAAAGGUGCAAAGAUAUAAACCGGGGGAGGUCAAGCCAGGGGGAAAGAGCUUGCAUUCAAAUGGCGUCAGAUUCCCUGCAGGUAGAGCCUCUGGGACAGAGUUGGUUGAUGCUACUUUUCAGAGCUAAGAAAGCUGCGUCUGUGCUUCUGUGUUGAAUUCUGCAAGUCAGGGCUGCAAUAGCAGCUGUAGGAGGAGGGAUGAUGCGGAUAAUCUGGACGUUGGUCACCUUAACCUGGGCCCUCUGGCAAUGCACAGCUGCUGCAUCCGUAACGGACCAGAGGACUUGUUUGUCAAAAGCAGGAUUUGUUUGUACCACUGCCUCUAUAUGGACUGGAGCCAGCUUUUCAGAUGAAUGAUGUUGAAACCUUUUCUCCAUUUCAGUUUUGGCUGGUGUCUGAUGCCAGGCUCGGUAUCAGCCACGCACCAGGGAGCCACUCGCAGUCCCACGCUCCAGGGCAGCGAAGGGGCUCUGCCGCCCACCCGCCUUCCUCACGGUGCUCUGAGGAGACCCCCUGGCACAGGGGCCUGGUGUCUGCAGGUGUCCACUUGGUUUUGCUGGGCUAAAUGCUGGCGCGCUGGGCUGCAAUGCUGAACUUCAGCACUGGCUAAGCAGGUGCAAACCACUGGUUGUCACUCAGAGCCUUUGUUCUUACACAGUUCUCCUCUCUUCCGCUGCCUCUUGGGUCCAUGUCAGAGCUUUCCCUGAUGCUACCUGAACAACUUUGUCCCCAACACAGUGUUUCCUUCUGUCUUUUUCUCUCUCAAACACUUCCUCAAGCAAGUGGAGCCUGGACUCAGAGUGCAUCAACAACAAUUAGCUCAAGCAAAGGAGUGCCUGCACAUGGUAUUUUGGGUUUGGCCAGAAGCAGAGCCCUACAGGAUUAUUGCCUGCUGCCUCUGUCGGGUGAUGCCUGCCUCUGCAUUUGCAGCCCGGCUGUCUCUGAAGGUGGCAGGCUCAAGCUCAUGUCUUUAUUAGUGCAUAAAGCCAGGCUGACACGAGCCUUA
This is a long non-coding RNA of Cygnus olor (mute swan), 1129 nucleotides long. RefSeq lists it as uncharacterized. The record is from RefSeq and is a predicted model, not a curated record. The transcript has 2 exons. Lineage: Eukaryota; Metazoa; Chordata; Aves; Anseriformes; Anatidae.